Molecule: ribosomal RNA, 855 nt
Filed under: uncultured bacterium
Lineage: Bacteria
Description: bacterial SSU rRNA
Rfam family: Bacterial small subunit ribosomal RNA
Source: RNAcentral
GGCUCAGGAUGAACGCUGACGGCGUGCCUAAUACAUGCAAGUCGAACGAGGUGCUUUUGUAGCAAUACGAGAGUAUCCUAGUGGCGAACGGGUGAGUAACGCGUUGGUGACCUACCCCAAAGUGUGGGAUAACAGUCCGAAAAGAUUGCUAAUACCGCAGGUGGUUAUUGGAUCUAGAAACUGAUAACUAAAGGAGCAAUUCGCUUUGGGAGGGACCUGCGUCCCAUCAGCUAGUUGGUGAGGUAACGGCUCACCAAGGCUACGACGGGUAGGGGACCUGAGAGGGUGGCCCCCCACAAUGGAACUGAAACACGGUCCAUACACCUACGGGUGGCAGCAGUAGGGAAUAUUGCACAAUGGGCGAAAGCCUGAUGCAGCAACGCCGCGUGUGCGAUGAAGGCCUUCGGGUCGUAAAGCACUUUUCUGAGAGAUGAGAAAGGACAGUAUCUCAGGAAUAAGUCUCGGCUAACUACGUGCCAGCAGCCGCGGUAACACGUAGGAGGCGAGCGUUAUCCGGAUUCACUGGGCGUAAAGCGCGUGCAGGCGGUUUGGUAAGUUGAUCGUGAAAGCUCCCGGCUCAACUGGGAGAGGUCGGUCAAUACUACCGAACUAGAGAGUAGAAGAGGAAGAUGGAAUUCCCGGUGUAGUGGUGAAAUGCGUAGAUAUCGGGAGGAACACCAGUGGCGAAGGCGAUCUUCUGGUCUAUUUCUGACGCUCAGACGCGACAGCUAGGGUAGUAAACGGGAUUAGAGACCCCGGUAAUCCUAGCCGUAAACGAUGUGAACUUGGCGUCGGUGGCUUAAACACCAUCGGUGCCGAAGCAAACGCGAUAAGUUCACCGCCUGGGGACUACGG